Ruditapes philippinarum (Manila clam) is the source of this 1567-nucleotide long non-coding RNA. RefSeq lists it as uncharacterized. The transcript has 3 exons. NCBI's taxonomy places the organism in Eukaryota, Metazoa, Mollusca, Bivalvia, Venerida, Veneridae. The record is from RefSeq and is a predicted model, not a curated record.
CUCUAUCGUUCAUAGGAUCGACCGGAAGUUAAUUCUUAUCUCGUAUUGAAAAUUGUAGGAGUAAACUGGCCAAUCAUAAAUACUAAUCCGCGCUCAAAAGUAGUUCGCCUCAUGCCAAUUGCUUGGUAUAAAUACGUCGUAAAACUGAUCGGCUAAUGGUCAUAACUUGUGAGAAAUUCCGAUAAAUUCUAUUAAUUUAAUACGGAUUCACUUAAUUGUUUUUUGUUCCUUUCGUGUUUUGUUUCUUGUAACGGCUUAACAAUCUAUUUCAUCGGAGAAGGUCAAGAGUAUCUUCAAAUAUUUGGAUAGAGAAGAAGCAACGUUUAAUGAAAAUACCAGACAGAUAAUGACAACUGCAAGUAAAGUUUGUUUGUUAAUGAUAGUCGCUUGUUUAUGUCUAUCACAAUACAUACAAGCAACAUACAUAGACUGUUCCAUGGAGUGCUUGUUUGCCGCCUUCCGAGAGCCAACAGUUUGUGAAUGCAAAAACUCUAGAAAACUUCAUUGGGGAAAAAGAGCGCCAAGAAAUAAACCACACAGAUUACCGACGUUUCGGUAUGGAAAACGGGCUGUUUCAUUUUCAAAUUCGGACUUAGACCAAGACAGAUUAAAAACGUUACGGUCAAUCCAAGAUACGUUACUCUCGGGAGAGGUCUCGCCAUAUGAUUAUGACGUAUGAACAACAACAAUGGUGCCACCUGCCACAUUCUAAAAGAGAGUGAUGGACAAUAAAAUAAAAUAAACGUCAAUUCAUUUUUGAAGACAAAAGGUCUUUUCAUUAGGACAUCAUAUCUUUCAAUAUAUAUGUAUAUAUAUAAAUCAAAUUUUAGACCAAACCUUAUAAGUUCUCGUGCUUUUUUGGCAGUGAAUUGUGUAAUAAAAAAUAUAAAUCUUUAAAGAAAAAUUUACUUUAGUGUAUUUCAAACGAUAAGCAAAAAAAAUGUGAAAGUUUCUUUUACAUUUGAUAGUAAAAACUGAUUUUGAUAAUAUUUGUUUUAACAAGUAUUAUCUUUAUUUGAAAUUGAUGUAAGAUUUCUUUUGUUAACUUGCACAUAUCAUCAUGCAUAACACGAUACUGUACUGUAUGGAUGCAUACACCCACUGGACACCGUUUUCCUAUUAAUUUCAGAUACUUACUAUUAAUAACGGAUACUGAAAUGUCUGUUUUUACCUACAUUAAGUUUUAAGUUAAUAUAGGUGAAAAAAGGAAAGAAAAACGUUUCAAAAAUUUUCAAAUUGAUGUGCAUAGUUCUUACGGUCAUGCAAUAUGCAUUUGUCUCUAUUUAUAUCAAUAAUUUAAAAAAUAAUCUAUAUGUAUAUAUUUUGAAUUCUUUAAUUUAUAAGUAAAGUUGAUGUUCAUUAUGUAACAAUGAAAACUAUUCAAAACAUGUUUUUGUUUCAACUUUUUUUGUCGUUUGCUGAACAUCUCUACUUUUGGUUUUAUAUUUUCCCUUGUAAAUCAAACAUUUGAUCUGCAAAUAAUAAAUUUGUAGAAAUAAAUGUUGAUUCAAACAAAUAAUUGAUAGAAAAAAAAGCUGUUCAAAAAUAAAAUGAAACUGAAAUAAAA